UGCGUAGGCGGCUUAUUAAGUCAGAUGUGAAAGCCCCGGGCUUAACCUGGGAACUGCAUUUGAUACUGGUAAGCUAGAGUAUGGUAGAGGGGGGUAGAAUUCCUAGUGUAGCGGUGAAAUGCGUAGAUAUUAGGAGGAAUACCAGUGGCGAAGGCGGCCCCCUGGACCAAUACUGACGCUGAGGUACGAAAGCGUGGGUAGCGAACA
This 207-nucleotide ribosomal RNA is filed under the name uncultured bacterium. RNAcentral describes it as "partial 16S ribosomal RNA". It matches the Rfam family "Bacterial small subunit ribosomal RNA", at positions 568 to 774 of the family's 1533-position model. The record is from RNAcentral.